This 493-nucleotide ribosomal RNA is filed under the name uncultured bacterium. RNAcentral describes it as "partial 16S ribosomal RNA". It matches the Rfam family "Bacterial small subunit ribosomal RNA", at positions 30 to 523 of the family's 1533-position model. The record is from RNAcentral.
AUUGAACGCUGGCGGCAUGCUUUACACAUGCAAGUCGAACGGUAACAGGUUAAGCUGACGAGUGGCGAACGGGUGAGUAAUGCAUCGGAACGUGCCCGAUCGUGGGGGAUAACGCAGCGAAAGCUGCGCUAAUACCGCAUACGAUCUGAGGAUGAAAGCGGGGGACCGUAAGGCCUCGCGCGAUCGGAGCGGCCGAUGUCAGAUUAGGUAGUUGGUGGGGUAAAGGCUCACCAAGCCAACGAUCUGUAGCUGGUCUGAGCGGACGACCAGCCACACUGGGACUGAGACACGGCCCAGACUCCUACGGGAGGCAGCAGUGGGUAAUUUUGGACAAUGGGCGAAAGCCUGAUCCAGCAAUGCCGCGUGCAGGAAGAAGGCCUUCGGGUUGUAAACUGCUUUUGUACGGAGCGAAAAGGCCCUCUCUAAUACAGUGGGCUCAUGACGGUACCGUAAGAAUAAGCACCGGCUAACUUCGUGCCAGCAGCCGCGGUAA